CGGCCGUUACGUUGGUGACGUCACCACGAACGCGAGAAGUCGAAGGUGUAUCAGUAUGAAGCAGGCGGUGACGGCGCACUGAUUCACUCUCGGAGCUCGGUUCACUAAUGACCGAAUCACCGAGGAACCGACCAAAGAUAACUCACACCCGCACGGAGAAGAAGAACAAGAGGAGGAGAAGAUGAGCUGGAGUGGGGCAAAGAGAACUGCAUUCAGAUCAAACGGAUACAAGAGAGGUGGCCGAGUUGUUUGAGGAUCUGAAGAAUUGAGUGUCACAAUUCAACAUGCACAUCAGCGAAACUUUUCCCUCUGACUACACCAGCACGCACGCACAGAAAUUCAUAGUGCAGGUGGCGAUUGCAGGCGCAUUUUAUCCGAACUGCUUCCUCCAGGGAACUGUGGACGAGGAGCUCGCCUCCAAGGAACUCUAUGGAAACGACCCCAGGACCACCAUAGUGGUGUGUAAUCUCCCUCCAUUUGCAUUCCUCUACUAUAAACAGCUCCAGUCUCUCUUCAGACACUGUGGUUAAAUCAAAUCCAUCUCCUUUGACAGCUCCAGGGCCUAUGUAGAGUUCUACCGCUCGUCAAUGAGAGGUUCUGGCGUUCUCCCAGAGGUCUCUCUGUCUCUCCUCCUCACGCAGCAGAGACUUCCUCUCCAUCUCAACGUUUAAUCCGCUGGAGAGGUGGAGACUUGGGCAGGGGGGUAGUGUAUCUCACACCUCAGAUAUACACGGGUGAAUGUGGAUUUUCAGAAUCAGUCAGUGAGCCCUGUCAGGGUUCUGAGCAGCUCCAUUGAGUUGGAGAACCUUCCGUCUAACCCUGUCUUUAUCGUCAAUAUCACCGAGGUGUCUGUUCCGCCUCUUUCACUUUCAGUGCACAAAUAAAAAAGAAGCAGUGGCUCCUGUGUGUGUGUGUGUGUGUGUGUGUGUGUUUGUGUGUGUGCACACUAACAGGAGGUCCAGGUGCAGCCUUUGGAUAUUGAUGAAGAUUUACUGCCCCUGCAAGACCUUCCUCAACUGCGUAGUCUGGAGCAAAGGAUGCAACAGAGCCCAGAUUACAAGCAAAAUCUGGUAAACUGGUUGGCGCUUAUUGACGGGGUGUAUGUGCGUGACUGCACCUGGCGCAUAUUGAAGAGGGUGAUUGCUAACUCCCUGGAAAAGAAUCUCAAUUGGAGGGGAGUCAAUGGAAAGACUUCACUGUCCGCUCUCCAACUCGGAGAGGUCAUGAUUGCUGCAGUUCAUAGAAACCUCUUCACGGCUAAAGCUGCAGAGAUGGAGGUCGAGGGGUCCAUGAAGAGGCGGCUCCAGCUGGCAUCAGAUCGAGAGUGUGGGCGCAAGAGCAGACUUUUGAUAAAGGAGGAUAUUUACAGUGUUUUAACUGCUGUGUUUUUUGCGCUAUUUAUUAAUUUGUUAAAAUGUUCAUAUUAUAGUCUAUUUUUAAUUGUUUAUAAAAGUCCUUGCUGUUUUUAAGUGGCUGAAUUAGUGUGUGUGCACGCGUGUGUGCGUGCGUGUUGGUAGCUGGGUGGGUAUAUAGUUCUGGUCGGAAGUUGACAUACCCCUUGCAGGAAAAAGAGACCCUGUGUAAUCUGUUUAAACGACUUUUACGCAUGUUUUGCAGAGAGAUCAUUUUCACCUUGCUGUUUGGGUCUCUGUCCCACACUGUUACAGUGCAGUAUUGAGAGCACGAGGGAGAUCGAUUUUCUAUCAGAAACAGUAACUAUAUAAAAUGGACGUCAACACGCAGCACUCUGUGAGGUCAUUUCUCGCUCUCAACAGAGUAGUUGUGAUUGUUCAGUGUUUACGACAGGGCCAAAACAUUCAAGGCCAUGGUGUAUUUUGACUGUUCCUGUAGCAUAAUCUCACCAAACUGUGUGUACACGAGUCCACAGACACUGAGUCUAUUCACAGUUCCAUGCUGUGUAGAUGUUCUGCUCAUCCUCACUGUACCGUAAAGGUCAGAACCUCACAUCUGUAACCUUGUAGCUUUCCUUAAUCAACACGACUGUGACCAAGCUUGUGUAUCACUACUAUUUUUAGAUCUCCGCCUCUCAAAAGUAUUGGCGCCCUGCGCGGCCGCCUCUCAAAUCUUUUGCCGCCCUACGCGGCCGGCUCUCAAAUCUGUUGGCGCCCUAUGCGUCCGGCUGUCAAAUCUAUUGGCGCCCUAUGCGUCCGGCUCUCAAAACUAUUGGCGCCCUUCACGGGCAGUUCUCAAAAGUAUUGGCACCCGAUCUGAAUUUUGCCACGGCAAGCACCACUCACAUUUUCUUCAGGAAAUGUACCUUAAAAUAAUAAAAAGUCUCUCACUAGGCUGUGUGUCGAGAUAAACGUGAAAACAUCUUGAGCUUGUGUUCACCACAGACCUUAUUUCCGGCAUUUAACCCAAAACCCCAUUGACGGAAGUGCUAAUACGCUGACUCGUUUCUGGGUUUCACGACUCAUUCCUGCAGCACUCUGUAAGACGGGCUGUUGUUAUCAAACCAUCGAAGUAAGAUAAGCGGCUUUGGUAAUGAUUCUUUAAAUGAACCGAUUCAGAAUCCUCUUCUUGAAUCGUUUGAGUCGUUCUCACUCGGUCAGGGUUGCACGUGUGGGUUGCUUUUCCUGCACGUGUAAUCAGCACGUGUUCACAGACCGUAAAUUCCGACCCCAUGGUAGACACUCGACAGAAAUUUCAUACUAAAGUAAGUAUUUUAUAUUUUCUGGGUCUAAAGAGAGCAGAAGUAAUGCUAAUGUGUUGUACAGAUUCUAUUGGACUAGUGAACUGUGUGGAUUUGUAUAUUUAACCCAGUUUAAUAUGGCCUGCUUUGUUCAGUCAGAGACAAGUAAAUCUGUUCUAAUGUUCAUUUAUUUUCCAUAGAUAAAACAAAUGUUUGUUUACACAUGAAUACGUACUUUAUGCCUUCAGAAUGGUGGAGAUUUGGCUCUUAACUAUGGUUAAGUGGGGGUACUAUAAAAUGCACAGUUCUGAGACACUAUAUACCUAUACUGUGAAAUCAGUACAUGUGUGUGUUUAGAAUGAUUAUAGCUUUUGGGGAAAAAACUAUUCUUGAAUCUAUUAGUCCUUGUUCUGAUGCACCUGUAACAUCUCCCUGAGGGCAACAGAUCAGAGCCAGGGUGAGAGCUGUCCUCAAUGAUGGUUUUUCCUCUGCUGAGGCAACGGGGGGGUGUAAAUAUCCAUCAGGGAGGUGUUGUGGAUAAAAAAUGUCAUAAAAUAAACAUAAAGGAGACCUAGCAUCCAGCAAAGGGGAGAAGAAGAAAAGAUGGGCACCUAGACACAUAGAAGCGGAAUUAGGCGGACAUUGACAAAUUGGAAUUACACUUUAAAGAUCUUUAAGAGCAGUAGUAGUCAAAAAAGUCAAAAAGAGGUAUACGAGCUGAGCUGAAGAGUGCUAAUACACACACACACACACACGCUCGUACAGUCAAGGGCGGGCAAGUAGACGCAACAUGCACACACAUGAAUAACUUUAAUAAUCUUAUAGUAAUAGAGAAACUCUCUAUAAAAAAACAGAAUAGUAGGAUAUGCAGGACAGUAUGGAGGAUAUGCAGGAGUUUAAGCUCAUCACUUCUGAGAAUUCUCAUCGGUGUGGAUCUCGUGUGGUGGAACGGAACAAUAAAUCUGGACCCUUGCUUCUUCUCACUCAUGGCUGGUGUCUUUUUUUUCUAUCUCCAACUGGGCUCAGAGGUAGAUGUGAGUGUUGGCUUCUAUGUUGAAUUUUAAGUGUUUUUGGGUAAUAGGCUAUAUUUGAGCCAACAGAGGGGAGAGGUAAUAAAUAAACUUAUAAAUGUGAUUACUUGAUGACCGUAGACAGAACUCUAUAAAUGUGAAAUGUUUUGUUGAAGUUCAGAUGAAUCUCUGAUGUACAGAAUCUUCAACAGAGUUCUGCAGAAAGAUUUUAAAUGCCUGUCAUUCACCAGAACAAAUUUGCAGUUGAACAGUCUGUCUAAAAGAAAAAAUCUAAACACACAAUAUAAAAUUCCUGCAGUGUGAAUAAAGCCUUUGUGUUGCUUUUAGCAAACAUGUCUAGUACUCUCGGUUCAAUGUACACAAUUUACCCCAUUUAAAUGCAUUUUGGAAAUUGUUCCACAUGGCCUUAAAGUGUGAAUAUUCACUGUAUGCCAAAUAAGUAAUCAAAGAAUGGAACUGAAUUUUUUCUUCUCUAAUGGACCAUUAAUCACAAUUAUAAAAGAUGAUGCAUCAGGUACAAAGUAUCAGGGUUUUUUCCCCCUCUUUUUCCCACAAUAGUUGCAUGAUUUUUGCUACACCCUUUCCACCAUGUGUGUGUGUGUGUGAGCGUGCGCGCUACAAAUCACUUUGAGGUAAAAAUAUUUUAAGGCAGCCACUUUCACCUUCCUACAACAAUUGGUGACUGGUCUGAGGUGAAGCUUCUUGUCAUGUUACUGUGGUCAUGGAUCACAUUGUGGGGAUCUCUGUAAUGUAACCGUUUCUGUAAUUAUCCUUACUUGCCUUUGCGCUUUUGUGCUUCUGCGUCUUCUGUUGGUGCUUUAUUCUGCUUUUUAGGGCCCGAGCACCGCUGCUGCAAAGCCCUUUUGGAUCUGCUGUUUAUUAUUGGGGCAGAGCACCGAAGGUGCAGCGCUUCUGGUGACCACCGGAGGUGCAGGGCCCUAUUGAUUUUCUGGUGUUUAUUGUUUAUUUCAUGCAUUCUUGUCGUUUUUAAGGACCUAAACAUGGCUGAAAACUCCCAAAACUCGGUAGACGCGCCAGCUCCAGUGAAAAUGUAACUUGCAUGGGCAUGGUCGAGGAGCUCCUUAGCACCCCUGAAGGCAGGCAAUGGUCGGGAUGAAGUUGCUCCGAUGUGCACGAUUUACCAUAUAUAUAUAUAUAUAUAUAUAUAUAUAUUAAUUAGAUAGAUAUGGGGUAAUAAAGUGUAAAAUAUAGAUAAUUCACAAUAAUAUCAGAUAUCAGUUAGAUUCAGCUUCGGACACAAGUUCCAGGUACUGAUCGAGAAGGAGUGGAUCAGCUUCGGACACAAGCUGGCCUCGGUGCGUAUGAGCAGUGAGGGCGUGGUUGUGUGUGGGCGCGUGAACGCAUGUAUAUUUAACCCCAUCUUUCUCUCUCUGUGUGUUUCUCAGCGUGUCGGCCUUGGAGAUGAGAAUCACGCCAACUCGGAACGAUCCCCUCUCUUUGUGCAGUUCAUCGACUGUGUGUGGCAGAUGAUGAGACAGGUCAGCUACUGAUGCUUUACACCACAACACUGUUGAAUUCUCCAAUCUGAUUGGUCAGAAGGCGUUGGAGACAUUUCUGUAACAGCAAGAUUCUGAUUCCAGCUGCAAGGGAAAUUACAGCUUUAUAGUGAUGUGCUCGUUCCUAUAGUAACAGCUCUUUCACAGGGUCUAGUAUGGCGUACGCAAUACAUAUUCUAAGCUUAAUCGUAAACAUAUUAUAAACAUGUCACUUAAAGAAAAAGACGUAUGAUCAUUGUGAUCUAGUUAAGAUUUAUAAGUUAUCUAUUUAUGGAAGUUUUAUGGAAGUAUUCUCCAGUGUCACGGCAGAGAGGACAUUGCACUUUCCAGUUUCUCAGUAACAUUGCAAGUCUUAUUCAUUUCAAGAGUUAGGGUGGGGAAAGAGAGGCUUGUGAGGGAACUAUUGUUUUAUUUUAAUGUUAUAAAGUAAGAGAUCAUAAUGAGAACUAACUCUCUUUUCCAGGACAUUCCAAAUUGUUCUUUGGCUAUGCCCCAUGUUUGUGCAAUAUUUCAGACCGGUUUUUCCUCUUUUCGCAGCUUCAAAAUGGCUUGCUUUUCUCCCAUAGACAGCUCUCUGGUCUUCAUGUCAGUUUAUUCUUUUUAACAACAAAUGCUGUCUCCACAGGUGAAACCCAGGGCUCAAACCAAGAGAAGACAUUCAGAGCUAUUCAUUCUUUAAAGUCCAUUUAACGAGGUACACCUGGCCAGCAAGAAAAAAACAUCAGUCACUCGUUCCAGUAUUUUUGAACAGUUAAUGAAUAGGAUGGCUUCAAAAAAGCUGCCAUAUUUUAAGCUGUGUAACACGUCUAGAUGUAAAUAUGAGGAAAUGAAAGCUGAAAUUCUGAUCUAUCGUCUCAUAUUCGUCUUUUAUCUCAAACCCAAAUGUCUUCAGUAUACAGCAAAAGCAAGUGAAUUGGCCUUGAUGUUCCAAUACUUUUGAAGAGGACUCUAAUUUUUCCUUCUGCUUCUGAGUUCAAAGAGCUUUUUCUCAUCCCCAUCCUGGAUCGCCCCUACAGCUGCCUGUUUGGUACAUUCCUCUACAGCAGUGAGCACGAGAGAAUGGAAAAGGAAGUACAGGGUAAAACGGUCACUGUGGUCCUACGUUAACAGUCAGCCGGAGGACUUCACUAAUCCGUUCUAUGUGGACUGUAAAAACCAGGUGCUGUAUCCACUGGCCAGUCUCACACAUCUGGAGCUCUGGGUGGGUUAUUAUGUGCGCUGGAACCCACGCAUGAGACCUCAGAUGCCGCUCCAUCAGAAUUUGAGAGAGUUACCGUUUUUGCGUGAAGAACGUGGAGGAGCUCCAGAGAGAGGCCACGUCAUCCUGCUCCAUCUCCUCAUCCUCAGAGCAUACUUCUCCCUCCUCACAUAGUGGUUUGGCAUGCUGUGCAUCCUGAGAUGCUUUUCUGCUCACCAUGUAUGUAAAGAGAGGUUAUUUGAUGUUACCAUGGCCGUCCUAUUAACUUGACCCAGUCUGGCCAUUCUCCUUUCGCCAACAACGUGUUUCCACCCCGAGAACUGCCACUUACCGGAUGUUUUUCAGACAAGUGUGUGUGUGUGUGUGUGUGUGUGUGUGUGUGUGUGUGUGUGUGGAAAUCCUAGGAGAGCCGCAGUUUCUGGAAUACUCAAACCAGACCACUUAGAAUCUACAACCAUGCCACAGAUAAAAUAACUGGAUUACAUUCUGGUGUUUGAUGUGAAUAUUGACUGAAGCUCUUCAUCUGAUCCUGCUUGAUGUUGUACAUUGUGGUGUUGCCAUAUGAUUGGCUGAUUGGAUAAUUGUAUGAAUGAGCACAUGUACAAGUGAUCAGUGAGCACAUCCAUCUACCAUAGAGGUAUUUUGGGGCAAUACUUGACAAUGUACCUGGCUUUGUUAGAUUUGUGGCCAAGUUGAAGAAGCUUUUGACAGCCGAAUGGAAAAAAAUUAAUAAAACAAUUCAAGACAAAUUCACUUUCAGUCUUGUUUUUUGUUUUGUUUUUUUCCCCCUUCAUGUUAAUCUCUUUCUACAGAACCCGUCCAAACUUCAUACGUCAAUGCAGUAAGCAAGAUAAACUGUCUAUAGCUG
Long non-coding RNA from Ictalurus punctatus (channel catfish), 7267 nucleotides. RefSeq lists it as uncharacterized. The record is from RefSeq and is a predicted model, not a curated record. NCBI's taxonomy places the organism in Eukaryota, Metazoa, Chordata, Actinopteri, Siluriformes, Ictaluridae. The transcript is spliced from 14 exons.